GAUGAACGCUGGCGGCGUGCCUAAUACAUGCAAGUCGAGCGAACAGACGAGGAGCUUGCUCCUCGGACGUGAGCGGCGGACGGGUGAGUAACACGUGGAUAACCUACCUAUAAGACUGGGAUAACUUCGGGAAACCGGAGCUAAUACCGGAUAAUCUAUUGAACCGCAUGGUUGGAUAGUGAAAGACGGUUUUGCGGGCAGUUUUAGAUGGAUCCGCGGCUCAUUAGCUAGUUGGUAGGGUAACGGCUUACCAAGGCUAUGACGGGUAGCCGGCCUGAGAGGGUGACCGGCCACAUUGGGACUGCGGUACGGCCCAGACUCCUACCGGACGCAGCAGUGGGGAAUAUUGCACAAUGGGCCGAAGCCAGAUGCAGCAACGCCGCGUGCGUGAUGAUGUGCUUCGGGUUGUAAACCGCUUUCUCCGUUGAUGAACAGUGAGUGACGGUAAUUGGUCAAGAAGCCCCGGCUAACUACGUG
This 477-nucleotide ribosomal RNA is filed under the name uncultured bacterium. RNAcentral's name for it is "partial 16S ribosomal RNA". It matches the Rfam family "Bacterial small subunit ribosomal RNA", at positions 28 to 507 of the family's 1533-position model. The record is from RNAcentral.